This 766-nucleotide ribosomal RNA is filed under the name Thryssa chefuensis (Chefoo thryssa). RNAcentral's name for it is "partial 16S ribosomal RNA". The stretch from base 1 to 508 matches the Rfam family "Bacterial large subunit ribosomal RNA", at positions 585 to 1301 of the family's 2925-position model. The record is from RNAcentral. Lineage: Eukaryota; Metazoa; Chordata; Actinopteri; Clupeiformes; Engraulidae.
GCAGAGAAUACCCCUCGUACCUUUUGCAUCAUGAUUCAGCCAGUAAGAUACAUGCAAAGAGACCUCUAGUUUGUAACCCCGAAACCCGACGAGCUACUUCGAGACAGCUUAUCCAGAGCCAACCCAUCUCUGUGGCAAAAGAGUGGGAAGAUCCCCAAGUAGAGGCAAAAAACCUACCGAGCCGGGUGAUAGCUGGUUGCCCAAAAAAUGAAUAAAAGUUCAGCCCCGUGCAAGCCCAACUCACAACUGUGAAACUACAAAAGACAAAGAGCUGCCCCGCGGGAGUUAGUCAAAGGAGGUACAGCUCCUCUGACAAAGAAUACAACCUUUUAAGGUGAUUAAAGGAUAUAAUAAACCAAGGCCACAGGUCUCAGUGGGCCUGAAAGCAGCCACCCGACCAGAAAGCGUUAAAGCUCAGACCAAAAUAAGCCCAUUAUCACAUUUAAUUCCCCAAGAUCCCCAACACUAUUGGGCCUCUCUAUGCCCCCAUAGAAGAAAUGAUGCUGAAACGAGUAACAAGAAGACCGAACUUCUCCCUGCACAAGUGUAAGCCAGAUUGGACCAACCACUGGCGGUUAACGAACCCAAAAAAAGAGGGCCCUACACCAUGGCCAACUAGGACAAGAAAAGCGUGUUCCCUCAAUCGUUACCCCCACACAGGAGUGCUUCAACAAAGGAAAGACUAAAAGAAAAAAAAGGAACUCGGCAAGCCCAAACCCCGCCUGUUUACCAAAAACAUCGCCUCUUGCCCAUCAUUGUAUAAGAG